AUGGCUCUCCCUCUCCUUCACGAACGGCAGCGGCGGCGCCUCCGCCUUCCUCGCGUUUUCUUCUUCUUCUCUCCGGCGAUUUCCUCCGCUCACCACCGUCAACUCAACGUCAAGCUUAGCGACCUUUUUCAUCGCUUCUCUUCGCGAUUCCGUCGAAGUGAGGUGCAGAGAGAUGAAAAUGGCGAUGGAGAAGUUGUUUCGUUUGAGGAAUCUUUGAAGGUGAUUCAUGCUUUAAUGAUUGUGAAGAUGAUUCCGGCUUUGAUGAUGGCGGUGAUUCUUCUGGGAAAUUGA
This is a non-coding RNA of Vicia faba (fava bean), 291 nucleotides long. The record is from the annotation of a GenBank genome assembly. Lineage: Eukaryota; Viridiplantae; Streptophyta; Magnoliopsida; Fabales; Fabaceae.